Molecule: non-coding RNA, 117 nt
Filed under: Nomascus leucogenys (northern white-cheeked gibbon)
Lineage: Eukaryota; Metazoa; Chordata; Mammalia; Primates; Hylobatidae
Source: Rfam by way of RNAcentral
GCUGGGCGUGGUGGCUCACGCCUGUAAUCCUAGCACUUUGGGAGGCUGAGGUGGGCGGAUCACCUGAGGUCAGGAGUUUGAGACCAGCCUGACCAACAUGGAGAAACCCCGUCUCUA